Molecule: ribosomal RNA, 578 nt
Filed under: Cladosporium cucumerinum
Lineage: Eukaryota; Fungi; Ascomycota; Dothideomycetes; Cladosporiales; Cladosporiaceae
Description: eukaryotic LSU rRNA
Rfam family: 5.8S ribosomal RNA (bases 212-365)
Source: RNAcentral
UGGAAGUAAAAAAUCGUAACAAGGUCUCCGUAGGUGAACCUGCGGAGGGAUCAUUACAAAGUGACCCCGGCUACGGCCGGGAUGUUCAUAACCCUUUGUUGUCCGACUCUGUUGCCUCCGGGGCGACCCUGCCUUCGGGCGGGGGCUCCGGGUGGACACUUCAAACUCUUGCGUAACUUUGCAGUCUGAGUAAACUUAAUUAAUAAAUUAAAACUUUUAACAACGGAUCUCUUGGUUCUGGCAUCGAUGAAGAACGCAGCGAAAUGCGAUAAGUAAUGUGAAUUGCAGAAUUCAGUGAAUCAUCGAAUCUUUGAACGCACAUUGCGCCCCCUGGUAUUCCGGGGGGCAUGCCUGUUCGAGCGUCAUUUCACCACUCAAGCCUCGCUUGGUAUUGGGCAACGCGGUCCGCCGCGUGCCUCAAAUCGUCCGGCUGGGUCUUCUGUCCCCUAAGCGUUGUGGAAACUAUUCGCUAAAGGGUGUUCGGGAGGCUACGCCGUAAAACAACCCCAUUUCUAAGGUUGACCUCGGAUCAGGUAGGGAUACCCGCUGAACUUAAGCAUAUCAAUAAGNCGGAGGAA